Long non-coding RNA from Oncorhynchus gorbuscha (pink salmon), 1507 nucleotides. RefSeq lists it as uncharacterized. The transcript is spliced from 3 exons. The record is from RefSeq and is a predicted model, not a curated record. NCBI's taxonomy places the organism in Eukaryota, Metazoa, Chordata, Actinopteri, Salmoniformes, Salmonidae.
CCACACAUGCCGCCGGCUGUGGGUUAGUCAUGUUGGUGAAGGGUUGGUUGCCUCUGGUUACAGUUGCGUUGGUUAACAACACUGACGUGGUUACCCGUAGUUACCCAUUGAUCAUUUCUAAUUUGACAUAUAUAUAUAUUGUCCUGGUCAUGGUCAGGGUUGUCAGGUUGUCAGGGAGGUACCUAGUCAGUUGUCAUGGUUGUCAUGGAGAUAGAGUAUGGAACCUCAGCUAUGAGGUUAGACUUUCACAUGGAGGACAGGAGGAUACCUAGUCAGUUGUCAUGGAGAUACCUAGUCAGUUGUCAUGGAGAUACGGUAUGGAACCUCAACUAUGAGGUUAGACUUUCACACGGAGGACAGGAGGAUACCUAGUCAGUUGUCAUGGAGAUACCUAGUCAGUUGUCAUGGAGAUACCUAGUCAGUUGUCAUGGAGAUACGGUAUGGAACCUCAACUAUGAGGUUAGACUUUCACACGGAGGACAGGAGGAUACCUAGUCAGUUGUCAUGGAGAUACCUAGUCAGUUGUCAUGGAGAUACCUAGUCAGUUGUACAACUGAAUGCAUUCAUCUGAAAUAUGUCUUCCGCAUUUAACCCAAACCCCUUCUGAAUCAGCUUUAGCGUCUCGGGGGGAACUUUGGUCUGCUUUCCCUGAAGCUGGAGAGCACGAGUGGGGUUUUACAGAGCAAGCCAGACAGACUACUAAAUAGGGUUGCAAACAUUUCCGGGAAACUUUCCCAUAAUUCCCUGGUUUUCCAGGGAUCUUGGUUGCAGGAUGUCCAGCUAAUUCCCCCGUAAAUUCAAGGGAUCUUCUAACCAGGAUUUCUGGGAAACCAGGGAAUUUUGGGGAAGUUACCAUAAUUUUGCAACCUUAAGAAAAACACAUGGAGAGUGUUUAAUAAUGGACAGUUAUAGAGGACAGGAGGUUUAAUAAUGGACAGUUAUAGAGGACAGGAGGUUUAAUAAUGGACAGUUAUGGAGGACAGGAGGUUAUAGAGGACAGGAGGUUUAAUAAUGGGCAGUUAUAGAGGACAGGAGGUUAUAGAGGACAGGAGGUUAUAGAGGACAGGAGGUUUAAUAAUGGACAGUUAUAGAGGACAGGAGGUUAUAGAGGACAGGAGGUUUAGUAAUGGGCAGUUAUAGAGGACAGGUGGUUAUAGAGGACAGGAGGUUAUAGAGGACAGGAGGUUUAAUAAUGGACAGUUAUAGAGUACAGGAGGUUAUAGAGGAUAGGAGGUUAUAGAGGACAGGAGGUUUAAUAAUGGACAGUUAUAGAGGACAGGAGGUUUAGUAAUGGGCAGUUAUAGAGGACAGGAGGUUAUAGAGGACAGGAGGUUUAAUAAUGAGCAGAUAUAGAGGACAGGAGGUUUAAUAAUGGGCAGUUAUAGAGGACAGGAGGUUAUAGAGGACAGGAGGUUAUAGAGGACAGGAGGUUUAAUAAUGAGCAGUUAUAGAGGACAGGAGGUUUAGUAAUGGGCAGUUAUAGAGGACAGGAGGUUUAGUAAUGGGC